RNAcentral lists this ribosomal RNA (459 nucleotides) under uncultured bacterium. RNAcentral's name for it is "partial 16S ribosomal RNA". It matches the Rfam family "Bacterial small subunit ribosomal RNA", at positions 338 to 795 of the family's 1533-position model. The record is from RNAcentral.
CCUACGGGUGGCAGCAGUGAGGAAUAUUGGUCAAUGGCCGUAAGGCUGAACCAGCCAAGUCGCGUGAAGGAAGAAGGAUCUAUGGUUUGUAAACUUCUUUUAUAGGGGAAUAAAGGUAUCCACGUGUGGAUAUUUGCAUGUACCCUAUGAAUAAGCAUCGGCUAACUCCGUGCCAGCAGCCGCGGUAAUACGGAGGAUGCGAGCGUUAUCCGGAUUUAUUGGGUUUAAAGGGUGCGUAGGCGGGCGUUUAAGUCAGCGGUAAAAAGUCGGGGCUCAACCCCGGCCGGCCGUUGAAACUGGGAGCCGUGAGUGGGCGAGAAGAAGGCGGAAUGCGUGGUGUAGCGGUGAAAUGCAUAGAUAUCACGCAGAACCCCGAUUGCGAAGGCAGCAUGCCGGCGCCCUACUGACGCUGAGGCACGAAAGUGCGGGGAUCGAACAGGAUUAGAUACCCGAGUAGUC